This 471-nucleotide ribosomal RNA is filed under the name uncultured bacterium. RNAcentral describes it as "bacterial SSU rRNA". It matches the Rfam family "Bacterial small subunit ribosomal RNA", at positions 51 to 511 of the family's 1533-position model. The record is from RNAcentral.
CUAUAAUGCAGUCGGACGGGAUCCAUCGGAGAGCUUGCUCGAAGAUGGUGAGAGUGGCGCACGGGUGCGUAACGCGUGAGCAACCUACCUCUAUCAGGGGGAUAGCCUCUCGAAAGAGAGAUUAACACCGCAUAAUAUAUCUGACCGGCAUGGGUUAGUGAUUAAAUAUUUAUAGGAUAGAGAUGGGCUCGCGUGACAUUAGCUAGUUGGUAGGGUAACGGCUUACCAAGGCGACGAUGUCUAGGGGCUCUGAGAGGAGAAUCCCCCACACUGGUACUGAGACACGGACCAGACUCCUACGGGAGGCAGCAGUAAGGAAUAUUGGUCAAUGGGCGGAAGCCUGAACCAGCCAUGCCGCGUGCAGGAUGACUGCCCUAUGGGUUGUAAACUGCUUUUGUCCAGGAAUAAACCUUUAUACGUGUAUCAAGCUGAAUGUACUGGAAGAAUAAGGAUCGGCUAACUCCGUGCCAG